This 229-nucleotide ribosomal RNA is filed under the name uncultured bacterium. Its description in RNAcentral is "partial 16S ribosomal RNA". It matches the Rfam family "Bacterial small subunit ribosomal RNA", at positions 104 to 334 of the family's 1533-position model. The record is from RNAcentral.
CGGGGUGAGUAAUGUAUGGGGAUCUGCCUGAUGGCGGGGGAUAACUACUGGAAACGGUAGCUAAUACCGCAUAAUGUCUACGGACCAAAGCGGGGGACCUCCGGGCCUCUUGCCAUCGGAUGUGCCCAGAUGGGAUUAGCUAGUAGGUGGGGUAACGGCUCACCUAGGCGACGAUCCCUAGCUGGUCUGAGAGGAUGACCAGCCACACUGGAACUGAGACACGGUCCAG